RNAcentral lists this ribosomal RNA (2929 nucleotides) under Escherichia coli. RNAcentral's name for it is "23S ribosomal RNA". It matches the Rfam family "Bacterial large subunit ribosomal RNA". The record is from RNAcentral. Lineage: Bacteria; Pseudomonadati; Pseudomonadota; Gammaproteobacteria; Enterobacterales; Enterobacteriaceae.
GGGUUGUGAGGUUAAGCGACUAAGCGUACACGGUGGAUGCCCUGGCAGUCAGAGGCGAUGAAGGACGUGCUAAUCUGCGAUAAGCGUCGGUAAGGUGAUAUGAACCGUUAUAACCGGCGAUUUCCGAAUGGGGAAACCCAGUGUGAUUCGUCACACUAUCAUUAACUGAAUCCAUAGGUUAAUGAGGCGAACCGGGGGAACUGAAACAUCUAAGUACCCGAGGAAAAGAAAUCAACCGAGAUUCCCCCAGUAGCGGCGAGCGAACGGGGAGCAGCCCAGAGCCUGAAUCAGUGUGUGUGUUAGUGGAAGCGUCUGGAAAGGCGCGCGAUACAGGGUGACAGCCCCGUACACAAAAAUGCACAUACUGUGAGCUCGAUGAGUAGGGCGGGACACGUGGUAUCCUGUCUGAAUAUGGGGGGACCAUCCUCCAAGGCUAAAUACUCCUGACUGACCGAUAGUGAACCAGUACCGUGAGGGAAAGGCGAAAAGAACCCCGGCGAGGGGAGUGAAAAAGAACCUGAAACCGUGUACGUACAAGCAGUGGGAGCACAGAGCAAUCUGUGUGACUGCGUACCUUUUGUAUAAUGGGUCAGCGACUUAUAUUCUGUAGCAAGGUUAACCGAAUAGGGGAGCCGAAGGGAAACCGAGUCUUAACUGGGCGUUAAGUUGCAGGGUAUAGACCCGAAACCCGGUGAUCUAGCCAUGGGCAGGUUGAAGGUUGGGUAACACUAACUGGAGGACCGAACCGACUAAUGUUGAAAAAUUAGCGGAUGACUUGUGGCUGGGGUGAAAGGCCAAUCAAACCGGGAGAUAGCUGGUUCUCCCCGAAAGCUAUUUAGGUAGCGCCUCGUGAAUUCAUCUCCGGGGGUAGAGCACUGUUUCGGCAAGGGGGUCAUCCCGACUUACCAACCCGAUGCAAACUGCGAAUACCGGAGAAUGUUAUCACGGGAGACACACGGCGGGUGCUAACGUCCGUCGUGAAGAGGGAAACAACCCAGACCGCCAGCUAAGGUCCCAAAGUCAUGGUUAAGUGGGAAACGAUGUGGGAAGGCCCAGACAGCCAGGAUGUUGGCUUAGAAGCAGCCAUCAUUUAAAGAAAGCGUAAUAGCUCACUGGUCGAGUCGGCCUGCGCGGAAGAUGUAACGGGGCUAAACCAUGCACCGAAGCUGCGGCAGCGACGCUUAUGCGUUGUUGGGUAGGGGAGCGUUCUGUAAGCCUGCGAAGGUGUGCUGUGAGGCAUGCUGGAGGUAUCAGAAGUGCGAAUGCUGACAUAAGUAACGAUAAAGCGGGUGAAAAGCCCGCUCGCCGGAAGACCAAGGGUUCCUGUCCAACGUUAAUCGGGGCAGGGUGAGUCGACCCCUAAGGCGAGGCCGAAAGGCGUAGUCGAUGGGAAACAGGUUAAUAUUCCUGUACUUGGUGUUACUGCGAAGGGGGACGGAGAAGGCUAUGUUGGCCGGGCGACGGUUGUCCCGGUUUAAGCGUGUAGGCUGGUUUUCCAGGCAAAUCCGGAAAAUCAAGGCUGAGGCGUGAUGACGAGGCACUACGGUGCUGAAGCAACAAAUGCCCUGCUUCCAGGAAAAGCCUCUAAGCAUCAGGUAACAUCAAAUCGUACCCCAAACCGACACAGGUGGUCAGGUAGAGAAUACCAAGGCGCUUGAGAGAACUCGGGUGAAGGAACUAGGCAAAAUGGUGCCGUAACUUCGGGAGAAGGCACGCUGAUAUGUAGGUGAAGCGACUUGCUCGUGGAGCUGAAAUCAGUCGAAGAUACCAGCUGGCUGCAACUGUUUAUUAAAAACACAGCACUGUGCAAACACGAAAGUGGACGUAUACGGUGUGACGCCUGCCCGGUGCCGGAAGGUUAAUUGAUGGGGUCAGCGCAAGCGAAGCUCUUGAUCGAAGCCCCGGUAAACGGCGGCCGUAACUAUAACGGUCCUAAGGUAGCGAAAUUCCUUGUCGGGUAAGUUCCGACCUGCACGAAUGGCGUAAUGAUGGCCAGGCUGUCUCCACCCGAGACUCAGUGAAAUUGAACUCGCUGUGAAGAUGCAGUGUACCCGCGGCAAGACGGAAAGACCCCGUGAACCUUUACUAUAGCUUGACACUGAACAUUGAGCCUUGAUGUGUAGGAUAGGUGGGAGGCUUUGAAGUGUGGACGCCAGUCUGCAUGGAGCCGACCUUGAAAUACCACCCUUUAAUGUUUGAUGUUCUAACGUUGACCCGUGAUCCGGGUUGCGGACAGUGUCUGGUGGGUAGUUUGACUGGGGCGGUCUCCUCCUAAAGAGUAACGGAGGAGCACGAAGGUUGGCUAAUCCUGGUCGGACAUCAGGAGGUUAGUGCAAUGGCAUAAGCCAGCUUGACUGCGAGCGUGACGGCGCGAGCAGGUGCGAAAGCAGGUCAUAGUGAUCCGGUGGUUCUGAAUGGAAGGGCCAUCGCUCAACGGAUAAAAGGUACUCCGGGGAUAACAGGCUGAUACCGCCCAAGAGUUCAUAUCGACGGCGGUGUUUGGCACCUCGAUGUCGGCUCAUCACAUCCUGGGGCUGAAGUAGGUCCCAAGGGUAUGGCUGUUCGCCAUUUAAAGUGGUACGCGAGCUGGGUUUAGAACGUCGUGAGACAGUUCGGUCCCUAUCUGCCGUGGGCGCUGGAGAACUGAGGGGGCUGCUCCUAGUACGAGAGGACCGGAGUGGACGCAUCACUGGUGUUCGGGUUGUCAUGCCAAUGGCACUGCCCGGUAGCUAAAUGCGGAAGAGAUAAGUGCUGAAAGCAUCUAAGCACGAAACUUGCCCCGAGAUGAGUUCUCCCUGACUCCUUGAGAGUCCUGAAGGAACGUUGAAGACGACGACGUUGAUAGGCCGGGUGUGUAAGCGCAGCGAUGCGUUGAGCUAACCGGUACUAAUGAACCGUGAGGCUUAACCUUACAACGCCGAAGGUGUUU